Bombus huntii is the source of this 4726-nucleotide long non-coding RNA. RefSeq lists it as uncharacterized. The transcript has 4 exons. The record is from RefSeq and is a predicted model, not a curated record. Lineage: Eukaryota; Metazoa; Arthropoda; Insecta; Hymenoptera; Apidae.
UACAAACAUUUCCUCACCAAAAUUAAGGGGAACAAAUUAGAAACUAUACCAUACAAUUAGAAUUUAUAUCGCAAACUAAACAAUUUGUAUGUGAUUUUUGUACAGAUCGUGAGACUUGUCUUAUUUCAUAUUUUAUAUAAACAUAUUUCCAUCGCGCAAAAAGCGAAUAAUAAAAACAUUUUCUCACCAAAAUUAAGAGGAACAAAUUAGAAACUAUACCAUACAAUUAGAAUUUAUAUCGCAAACUAAACAAUUUGUAUGUGAUUCUUGUACAAAUCGUGAGAUUUGUCUUAUUUCAUAUUUCAUAUAAACAUGUUUCCAGAGCGCAAAAAGCGAAUAAUACAAAGAUUUUCUCACCAAAACUAAGGGGAACAAACUAGAAACACUUUCUUUUUAACAACUGAAAGACGCGUCCUUUUACACGUAUAUUUUUUACUCUGUCUGAAUGAACUUGUAUAAAACAUCGAUUACAGAUCUUCGUUACUAAGCACUCAAGGCAAUUAUACAAAUUUGUUCAUACGAAGAUAUUGAUUUUUCGAUAAAUGCUAAAAUUGCUUUCGAUAAAUGCUUAGCAUAUUUCUAGACCCCAUAUGUCUGGUAAAUCUGAUGUGAUAAAUUUCAGCCUGUUUCACCCACUUUGUUCUGAACUGGAUAUGUGCUUUCUUCAAUUCUUUGGAUAUUUUCAACCUUUUUCAAUAAUUGGUUCAUCUAAUUUCGUACCACUUUAGAAUUGUGUGCUGUACCGUGAAUGGUAGGUCAAUAGGGUUCACACCACAAAGCAGCUUCUCUUUAUAACAGAAAUUUGUGCGACAGUCUGGACUCUAUUCAUUCUUCUAUUCUUUACUUUUCUUUCAUCUUUCUUCGCUUGGGCCCCAUGCUUUACGAGUUCCUUACCAGCUACUUAGACGAACAUUAACUGUUCACCAAAUACAGACAGUGUCAGGUGGCAAUAUUGAGAUGUACAGCAAGGACAUUGAACGAAGCAUUCUUUUAAAUAGAUUUUACAUGCAUUUCAUAUGUCAAUAUUCCCAUAUGUCAAAUUUGUAUAACAUUGAAUAACACGAAAUUUAUGUAAAUGUUAUAUUUAAUGCUAUGUUGUGCGAAUAGUAUUUGCAAUAGUAUGCGCAGUAAUCUUUGUAGCCAUUGUACAUGCACAGUGUCUUGCAACCGAGAUGUUGAGAAACGACAUUGAUCAACACCAAGAAAGUGAUGUUGCUAAACUACUUUUUUAAAUCUUGCCUUAGACUUUGCUGUCAUUUACGUUAUCUUCUUGCAAUGAAUCAGCUUAUGGAAACGAGUAAUUUAUUUCAAAAGGCAAACAUUAGGCGUACACGUAUGUAGCAUAAUUGCGAGGCUGAUAAAGAGUUGAGUUGAUCGGUUUGGCUUCCGAGAAGCUCGGUUGAUGAUACAACCAGGUGAAAGAUAAUUUCACGUGGCAAAAUAAAUCCGAAACAUAGUGUAAAUAUUUCCAUACGUUUACCUAAUGAUCUAACACGAUAAAUACAAACAUAAGUAAAUAUUGUAAGUUGAGAUAUAGUUCGGUGUACACGUAACAAGCACAUGUAACGUACUUGUAUUUACAGUCAAGUUGCUCGGGAUCAGAGGCUGGUACAAUCAGACUCUAUGGUUACAAAAGGUUCUCUAUAAUUUAACGAAGAAUUACAACUAAAGUUACAGUUCGCAUCAAUUUUUGUUAUCAGAUAGAAUUCCGUUACAAUCUUCAGCAUAAACGUGACUGCAGGAGUUUAAGAAACAUCCAAGUUCCUCGUGGUCUUAGAAGACCUCGUGGUGGUUAAAAUUGGUUUGAUCAGGUCGAUUUGAAAAAUUGCUGUUUAGCAUUUAGCUAAUAUCUGCGAUAAUAGCUGCAAGUCAAAGGUUAAUAUUUCGUCUUGCUCGAGUCGACUGGUUCAAAUUAUCCGAAUGAAAAGCUACCAGCGAUGAUAAAGUAAAGAAACGUUUGCAGAAAGUUCGAUGGCCAGCUUUCAGCUAACUUGGAUAAAGAGCAAAGAGGUGUAAACGAACGGUUCGGCGGUUUAUACAGGUGACAAUCUGCAACGAGAAUGACAAGGAUAAUUUCAUGGAUUAUCAAAUCGAACAGCUCACUUAAACCACGGUUCGAUUAAAUGGCGAGCAACUCCUUGCGGAAAAAAUUCAUUUGCACACUUCCGAGCGUAUGAUCCGAUAAGGGUCGAAUUAAUCGGCUUGCAACCUAUUUAAUGUCGGCGUUAUUAUUAGCAAGAAGGAGGAAAAGAAAUGGUAUAUACUAGUUGCAACGGCUGAUAGUGUUAGUUUAUGAGCGAAUUAUUGCUCCAUUAUAGCAGCGGCUGCGAGAUAUCAUAGCAUCGACUAUUUACAGCGGAAUUGUGACUGGAAAGUUCGACUGAAAUUCGCGUUAAUUCGAUUGCAGAGUCCUCGCUGAAUUUUCGUUGGAUUCUUCUCUCCUUCAAAUUAUUCCGCAACGAUUUACGUGUAAUUUUCUGUUCAUUAUCGAUGUAUUGGAAGGUGUUUAUUAUCAUUAAUAAAUAAAUUCGAACAGUAUAUGACAGGCUGAAAAUCAUAACGAUGUAAAUGAAAAUAUUGAGAAUUUUAUCGUGUAUUUCAGCUCUUAAAAGUAUGGUAGUUUUACUUUUAUAAUUAAGUUAGUUAUAACUUUAUUCUCUGCCGCGAUGCGUCUUUAUGACCUGAAAAAAUAUAAAUUUGUAUAAUGAUAAACACAGAACAUUAUUUUGUAAUAUUAAAUAACGGUUUAUUUACGUCACUAUGAUUUUUCGUUGUACAUAUAUGAAGACUUUGCUUGAAACUUAACCCCCCCCCCCCAAAAAAAAGGAUAGCGCAAAGUAAUUUUUAUUCUUAUAGUAGCCGUGCGCGAGUUUUGCAAAUUCGUAGAAAAAUCGUUGCAACAAGCGUGUAAAAUUAUUAGUUAAAAAAAUUAAUAACGAAACGUUUUAAUUAAAAUUUUAAUAAAAUCUCUGACUACGUUUUUGCUGUGUUAAAGAGAAAUGCAUAUUCCGCAGACAUAAUUAACUGAAACUAGUAAACUCAACAGAAAAUAUGUUAAACUAUAAUAUAAUAAAUUUCCAAAGUUCCAACUGCAAUUAUGACGUAAAAAUAUUUUACAAAAGUGAUUCCGUAGGUUAAUUUCUGAUUGAAUGUCCUAACGUAAUUAUCCACGGUGGCCGCAAAACCACACCAUAGUAUUUAUUGUAGCAUUUACAUACUAAUUAAUUAGACGAGAAAGAAGAGAGAAGAAGAAAUUAGUACAAUGGCGACCAGAAGAAAAUUUAUAAAACGAGAAGUAUAAAAAGGAAAUGUAAAUUUACAAAACGAGCGUUGCUAAUCCGGUAAAAGAUUGUCUCAAUGCAAAAGUUACCGAAAUUCAUAAUAUACCAACAUAAAACUUUAACGUUAAAUUUCCUAUCAUUUUUAUACUCUACGUAUGGCCAAAACACAGACUGGACCUGACAGGAAAAGAUACUGUUGAAAAAUAAGGACAUGAGCCGGUAUUUUUAUGAAAUUUCACGUAAUUCAAAGAAUCGGAUACGAAAGGAUACAGGGAAGAAGACAGACGAUGGUACGUCCCUGGUGUUGGUGUCACUUCCCAUUUCGGGUUGGCGGCUCGGUUUUUCGUCGUAGAUGUUCGUAUGCUUCCGCCGGCGAUCCGGAAAAGCACGAGGCGCGCAUCGGCCGCUGCGCGGAAAUUGUCGAACGAGCGGUGGAGGUCGGCGGAGGUCGGCCAACUCGAACCACGCGGCGGCGUCGAUUCAAUUCUCGAUACGCGUAGUUGUCGCUUGGAAAAUCGUUGGGCCGGCUUUUGUCGUCCACGUGUUCUCACGGGAACUUUGGCCGUUUCUUGCUACGAACCGAGCAACGCGGAUCAUGCAAAUGCAAGUAUUAAUAUGCGACCCGCCGAGUAACUUACGCAACCGUUAAUAACUCGUAAUGUUUGUAGACAGCCGUACAUCCGUAUUCUAUUAACGAGUGAUAAUGUAAUACGAUAUUUGUCAUUGGAACGUUGUUUCCCUUUCAGACACCAAGAUACGAGGCAGAAAUGAGUAACUGGAUCGCUGUAUUAAUUAUCGAAUAGCGAGCACCAGCGCUUUGUUGCAAUCGAUACUUUCUCUCGUUCUUUGAUCGCACAAGUAUCGAUGAUAUUUUCAAAUUAUUCGAUUCUGCUUUAAUGCAGUUUACGACGCACUAUUUGACAAAGUGUGGCGGCGUAUAAUAAUUGAGUUUACGUGUUUGAUUGUUGAACGCUGCUUGUGUACGAGCACAAAUAUCGUCACUUAACACGCAGUACCGUGCUACUUGCUUUAAUUGCUAUUGAAAAAAUUCGGCACGCAUAACGAUUUUAAAGCCUCGAUUACAUAAACAUCGAUAUAAGUCGAAUUAAUCGGCUCGAAAUCGUUGAGUAACGAGUGGCAAGUAGCUUCGACUGAUACUUAAUAAAAAAUGGAUACCUGAAAACGUCGUAAAAAUAUCCGAAGCUGGCCAUAAGACAUAAAAAAGAAUAUAAAAAUCGUCUUAGAAUGUUUACAAAAACGGUCGAUGAUUUGCUCGCUACGAUUAAACCGAAAGUUAGUUGAAGAAAUAACAAAGAAUGGCUAAGAGAAUUCUAACUUCGCUUAAAACCCGAAGAAACGUUUCAAGUGUGCUGAAUUUAGAUAACUUGAACGAGACGAAACCCAGCCAUGGAAUUGGAUCUAAAAAUUAAAGUUACUUAAUCUUA